GAGAAAUUAACCAAUGAAAGCACAUGUUAACAGUACAAUCCAAACAUUUAAAUCUUUACAUACACAGUUAUAUUUGUAACCAAACACAAUCAAUAAGGUAGAAAAACAAUCAAAUAUCUAUCUUCAAAUGGUGUUUCCAUGUCCUUUUGUUUAGGUCCCUAAUCCUGAAUGAUGCAAACGGAAGUAGUGGAAACAAAAGAUGUAGACAGAGAAGUAGAGGAACAGAGCUUCCAUGAAUCAGAUCACCCAUAGCUGAUAUAUCUCUGAAUCAAGUUGAUUAAACGAGCACCAGUAUCAUCAGUUUUAAGACUGAGAAAUAAUAAAGUUGUCUGCAAUGAAAACAAAAAGGUUAGUGCUAAAUAAUCUCCAAGACAAAUAAUUUAGGUAGGACCAGUCAUAAAUAAUCCUUCUUCUCUACCAUAUUACCCAAUUUAAAUCUUUGGUAGUGAAACUUGUGAACUACCCUACUACAAGCAGACCAAUAGAUAAAAUCAGUAAUAACAAUGUUUUUUUAAUACUGUAAACCAGUAUUUAGUGCAUUUGCAUUUGUUGAAUGCUUGCUUGCUUUAUUCAGGAUAAAUAAACUCAAUUAGAGACAUAACGGAAUGAUCGUAGACUUCCCCAAUGAUGAAAGAGCUCUGACCUGGAGAAAAACAUUUGUGGCCUGAAGAGUAGACUUUGUAUCAUGCUUACAGUGACCUCGGGUCCUUGAGCCCUCUUGUUUCAGAAAAAAGGGGAGAAGAGAUCAAAUAACCUUAGGCUGGCAUAUCUCAUCUGACUAAUGCUUAUGUGUCACUGCCAAUUACAUGCUGCAAAUGGUGAACUAAGUGAGUUUCAAUGCAUAGUGCAUGUCAGAAAUUAAAGCUCCAAACUAUAAUAAAGAUAGAUAUUGAAAAUUAAUAUUGUGAUUAUAUAUAUCAUUUGGUUAUAUCUAAGAAAAUUACAAUUAUAUUAGUCAACAGGCUCAGUCAAAUGAAUAUUAUCAACUGUCGAAUUACCAUAAAACUACCACUAAAUCACAUCGGGUACCUGAACAUCACCUCAACAGUUGAUAUCAGAAAACUAGCGGUCCCUAAUAUUGACCAAGUAACUAAAAUAUAAGUACAACAAGACUGAUAGCAAUCAAGCUUAGCGUUACUCUACCGAGUGAAACGUCCACGGAGAAAGUAGUAAUAGGCAGCAAAACAUUUUGUAGCAAUACUGCAUGGUAAGUGCCAGCGUCAAUGACCUAUGCUGCGGCGUGCCGAUUACGUAGCACCACUAGCUGUAGAGAACAUAUGGAUCUGGAUCUCAAUGAGGACGGGCGGGUGAAGGUAGAUUGAUGGAGGAUGUCAGAAAUUCUUAUUACCUUGAACGCAUUUUAUCGAACAUGUGUUGGGUGUAAUCCAUGUGUGGAGGAAAACCUGAGGAAAUGGCGUAGCGGACACGGCGUAAGCGCUUCAGAAUCUCGACGUACCUAGCAAUCUCCCCGUGCCGCUGCAGUUGCGCUGUGCUCCACGCGCAGCCUGACGCAGCCACGCCGUCCUCUGUGCGCCGCUCGACGCAACCACGGUGCCUCUCCACAGCUGCGUCGUCCUCCCCGCGCCGCCUGUGCAGUCGCACCGCGUACCCACAACUGUGUCGUCCUCCCCGCGCCGCCUGACACAGUCAUGCCCCGCGCCCACCUCAGGCAGGCGUGACUCCAAAUCAUGAGCCUAGCGGCCGCCGCCUCCAUCUCUUGCGAAUUUGGGGAACGAGCGAGGUGGUGUACACAGGUGCUGCCUCUCCCAUAUGUUUGUUUUUUUAUUUGAGUAUUUGAGAAGGUCCCGAUUCGUGCGUGACUAUGUGCAGCCUGAGCAAUAGUAGUACAGUUAAGGGCCAAAUGCCUCUCCGUGUAUGGAUGAAACGAAUGCGGCGUUCAGAAAAACGCCUCCAAUGCUACAGGAAUUUAAGGGUGUGAUUGGUUGCUCCUUGGUCUGCCAUCCGGGAUGGAGGGUCUGUGUAGGCUCAAACCAUUCCAGAUUAGACCAUGCACCUUCGUCUGUUUGGUUGCAAAUGAGUGUAGCAUACUGGAUCAUAGGAACCGUGUUUGGUUGCUU
RNAcentral lists this long non-coding RNA (2078 nucleotides) under Sorghum bicolor (sorghum). Its description in RNAcentral is "long non-coding RNA (SBIC_LNC003986)". The record is from RNAcentral. Lineage: Eukaryota; Viridiplantae; Streptophyta; Magnoliopsida; Poales; Poaceae.